ACGGUUAUGAAUCAACAACACCUUGAUUUAUAAGCAUGGAAAUCCCCUGAGUGAAACAACGAAUUGCUGUGUGUAGUCUUUGCCCAUCUCCCACGAUGGGCUUUUUUUUAU
Molecule: non-coding RNA, 111 nt
Organism: Leclercia adecarboxylata
Lineage: Bacteria; Pseudomonadati; Pseudomonadota; Gammaproteobacteria; Enterobacterales; Enterobacteriaceae
Source: Rfam